This 497-nucleotide ribosomal RNA is filed under the name uncultured bacterium. RNAcentral describes it as "partial 16S ribosomal RNA". It matches the Rfam family "Bacterial small subunit ribosomal RNA", at positions 28 to 507 of the family's 1533-position model. The record is from RNAcentral.
GAUGAACGCUGGCGGCGUGCCUAAUACAUGCAAGUCGAGCGAACAGACGAGGAGCUUGCUCCUCUGACGUUAGCGGCGGACGGGUGAGUAACACGUGGAUAACCUACCUAUAAGACUGGGAUAACUUCGGGAAACCGGAGCUAAUACCGGAUAAUAUAUUGAACCGCAUGGUUCAAUAGUGAAAGACGGUUUUGCUGUCACUUAUAGAUGGAUCCGCGCCGCAUUAGCUAGUUGGGAAGGUAACGGCUUACCAAGGCGACGAUGCGUAGCCGACCUGAGAGGGUGAUCGGCCACACUGGAACUGAGACACGGUCCAGACUCCUACGGGAGGCAGCAGUAGGGAAUCUUCCGCAAAGGGCGAAAGCCUGACGGAGCAACGCCGCGUGAGUGAUGAAGGUCUUCGGAUCGUAAAACUCUGUUAUUAGGGAAGAACAAAUGUGUAAGUAACUAUGCACGUCUUGACGGUACCUAAUCAGAAAGCCACGGCUAAUUACGUG